CCCUUAGAUGUUCUGGGCUGCACGCGCGCGACAAUGACGUUUGCAACGAGAUACGAGACCGAAAGGUUAAGUUGAUCUAGCAAGCUGCGUCGUGAUAGGGACUGUCGAUUGCAAUUAUUCGACACGAACGAGGAAUUCCUUGUAAUCGCACAUCAUCAGUGUGCGCUGAAUACGUCCCUGCCCUUUGUACACACCGCCCGUCGCUCCUACCGAUCGAGUGAUCCGGUGAAUGUUUUGGAUCGGUUGCAAGUUGCGCGACGCGCUUCUUGCAUGCUGUGAAAUCGUGUAAGCCUUAUUGCUUAGAGGAAGGAGAANUCGUAACA
RNAcentral lists this ribosomal RNA (323 nucleotides) under uncultured eukaryote. RNAcentral's name for it is "partial 18S ribosomal RNA". It matches the Rfam family "Eukaryotic small subunit ribosomal RNA", at positions 1470 to 1796 of the family's 1831-position model. The record is from RNAcentral.